This is a non-coding RNA of Benincasa hispida (wax gourd), 942 nucleotides long. The record is from RefSeq and is a predicted model, not a curated record. NCBI's taxonomy places the organism in Eukaryota, Viridiplantae, Streptophyta, Magnoliopsida, Cucurbitales, Cucurbitaceae.
UUUAAAAUCAAAAUGGAUUUAAAAAUCAAGUUUUGAUUUUUAAUAAAAUUGAAAAAUUAGAAAAACAAUACACAAAUGGAAAAAUAGAGUUUUCCAUUAUCCAUAUUCUUUAUGCUCACACACUUUCCCUUUGCACUUCUUCAUUUACUCUAAGCAUGAGCUGCAACUCAUGCAACACUCUUCCUUGCAUGAUGAUCUGCAAUAUAUUGAAGAGUUUGGAGUGAAUUUUGGGCAUGCAAUCAAGAGAGAAUUUUAGAGAAAAUUCGUGCUGAAGAAAGUGUUCUUCAAUAAGAUUGCUGAUGUGAGCAAUUUUCCUUCAUCCCUUUAUUCAAGCUUGUUUUGAGUCCCAUAACACAAUAUAGAGCACCAAGAGAAUAGUGUGGAAGAUCUUGAGGUGGUCUGCAACAAGAUUUAGAGAAGAUUGCAGUUGGAGAUUGAGCUUUGAAGAGGUUCUACAAAGGUAACAGGUAUCACCGCAUGUGAUGAUUGCUCGUGGACAAAAAGAGCAACGCAUUCUCGGGGAUUUCUGAAAUUGUACAACUUUUCUGAUGUACGACCUGACAAAUUGAAUGUGGAGCAGAGCAGACAUUCCCACCAAGCCGCAACAGAAAAAAGUAACUUUUUAGAGUGGGACCACUGAUGCAAGAGGUGCUAAGGUCUAUAAAUAGCAACAUAAACACUCAGCACAAAGGGGGGAAAGAAAACACAUGGAAAAAGAGACGAAAAGAAGUUUUGUGCAAGGGACAUUCUUCCCUCGAGAACUCUCCUGAGAAGGAAGUUCUCCACCUCAUUCCUCCAUCAUGCCGACAAGUAAAUAGCUCCGAUCGGGAUCUGUGGCAAGACAUUGACAUGCUGAUCUCAACUGUUCUUACUUUCCGUUCAUCGAUUGUUGUUCAUUUCCUGUCUUUCAUUCAUAUCUCUAUAACAAACACUUUAUCUUUA